CCUACGGGAGGCAGCAGUGGGGAAUAUUGCACAAUGGGCGAAAGCCUGAUGCAGCGACGCCGCGUGAGGGAUGACGGCCUUCGGGUUGUAAACCUCUUUCAGCAGGGAAGAAGCGAGAGUGACGGUACCUGCAGAAGAAGCGCCGGCUAACUACGUGCCAGCAGCCGCGGUAAUACGUAGGGCGCAAGCGUUGUCCGGAAUUAUUGGGCGUAAAGAGCUCGUAGGCGGCUUGUUGCGUCGGUUGUGAAAGCCCGGGGCUUAACCCCGGGUCUGCAGUCGAUACGGGCAGGCUAGAGUGUGGUAGGGGAGAUCGGAAUUCCUGGUGUAGCGGUGAAAUGCGCAGAUAUCAGGAGGAACACCGGUGGCGAAGGCGGAUCUCUGGGCCAUUACUGACGCUGAGGAGCGAAAGCGUGGGGAGCGAACAGGGAUUAGAUACCCUGGUAGUCCACGCCGUAAACGUUGGGAACUAGGUGUUGGCGACAUUCCACGUCGUCGGUGCCGCAGCUAACGCAUUAAGUUCCCCGCUGGGGAAUCGGCCGCAAGGCAAAACUCAAAUAAUUGACGGNNGAGAGAGCGACGACGACGACGAGGAGAG
RNAcentral lists this ribosomal RNA (595 nucleotides) under uncultured bacterium. RNAcentral describes it as "bacterial SSU rRNA". It matches the Rfam family "Bacterial small subunit ribosomal RNA", at positions 338 to 948 of the family's 1533-position model. The record is from RNAcentral.